Molecule: ribosomal RNA, 123 nt
Filed under: Propithecus coquereli (Coquerel's sifaka)
Lineage: Eukaryota; Metazoa; Chordata; Mammalia; Primates; Indriidae
Source: RNAcentral
GUCUACGAUCAUAUCACCCUGAACGCACCCGAUCUCGUCUGAUCUCAGAAGCUAAGUAGGGUCGGGCCUGGUUAGUACUUGGAUGCGAGAUAUCUAAGUGAUGAUGAUGUGUCAAUGUGGGUU